GAUGAAGAACGUAGCGAAAUGCGAUAAGUAAUGUGAAUUGCAGAAUUCAGUGAAUCAUCGAAUCUUUGAACGCACCUUGCGCCCUUUGGCUAUUCUGAAGGGCAUGCCUGUUUGAGUAUCGUGAACACCUCAACUCUCAUGGUUCGCCAUGAUGAGCUUGGACUUUGGGGGUCUUGCUGGCCUACGGUCGGCUCCUCUCAAAUGAAUCAGCUUGCCAGUGUUUGGUAGAGUCGCAGGUGUGAUAACUAUCUACGCUUGUGGUUUUCUGCCAGAUAACCUUCAGUGAUGGAGGUUCGCUGGAGCUUAUAAAUGUCUCUCCCCAGUGAGGACAGCUUUUUGAACGUAUUAUCUCAAAUCAGGUAGGACUACCCGCUGAACUUAAGCAUAUCAAUAAGCGGAGGA
RNAcentral lists this unclassified non-coding RNA (402 nucleotides) under soil metagenome. RNAcentral's name for it is "partial contains 5.8S ribosomal RNA, internal transcribed spacer 2, and large subunit ribosomal RNA". The stretch from base 1 to 121 matches the Rfam family "5.8S ribosomal RNA", at positions 35 to 154 of the family's 154-position model. The record is from RNAcentral.